CUUGCAGGGACAGAACGUCAUCAAUAUAUCUUAAAAUGAUUUCAAAAUCUUUUUUUGUUUUGUAUGAAUUCAAUUUCAUAUGAAUACAAGUCCGCCAUUAGUGGUGCACCAUUAUUACCCAUUGAAAUAAACCAACUGUUGAAAUAUCAAUCCAUCAACUCAACAAAUAUGAUGUCGAUCAAAUGGUCUAGUAUUUUAAUGAUACCAUCA
This 210-nucleotide long non-coding RNA is filed under the name Mytilus galloprovincialis (Mediterranean mussel). The record is from RNAcentral. Lineage: Eukaryota; Metazoa; Mollusca; Bivalvia; Mytilida; Mytilidae.